UACGGAGGAUGCGAGCGUUAUCCGGAUUUAUUGGGUUUAAAGGGUGCGUAGGCGGGCGAUUAAGUCAGCGGUGAAAGUUUGCGGCUCAACCGUAAAAUUGCCGUUGAAACUGGUUGUCUUGAGAGUAAACGAGGUAGGCGGAAUGUAACGUGUAGCGGUGAAAUGCUUAGAUAUGUUACAGAACUCCGAUUGCGAAGGCAGCUUACCAGGCUAUGUCUGACGCUGAGGCACGAAAGCGUGGGUAU
Molecule: ribosomal RNA, 245 nt
Filed under: uncultured Porphyromonadaceae bacterium
Lineage: Bacteria; Pseudomonadati; Bacteroidota; Bacteroidia; Bacteroidales; Porphyromonadaceae
Description: partial 16S ribosomal RNA
Rfam family: Bacterial small subunit ribosomal RNA
Source: RNAcentral